GACAGAGGCCUCGAGCGUUAGGCGGAAUCACUGGGCUUAAAGCGUGUGUAGGCGGAUGCCUAAGUACCUUGUGAAAUCCCACGGCUCACCCGUGGAACCGCUGGGUAUACUGGGCAUCUUGGGCCAUUCAGGGGCAACUGGAACAAGCGGUGGAGCGGUGAAAUGCGUAGAUAUCGCGUGGAACGCCGACGGUGAAAGCAGGUUGCUGGGAAUGUGCCGACGCUGAGACACGAAAGCCAGGGGAGCAAACGGG
RNAcentral lists this ribosomal RNA (253 nucleotides) under uncultured bacterium. RNAcentral describes it as "partial 16S ribosomal RNA". It matches the Rfam family "Bacterial small subunit ribosomal RNA", at positions 524 to 776 of the family's 1533-position model. The record is from RNAcentral.